Molecule: non-coding RNA, 94 nt
Organism: Pygoscelis adeliae (Adelie penguin)
Lineage: Eukaryota; Metazoa; Chordata; Aves; Sphenisciformes; Spheniscidae
Source: Rfam
GUGUAUUCUCAGCUUUGAGAACUGAAUUCCAUGGGUUGUAAUUGAAUCUGCUGUCAGACCCAUGAGGCUCAGUUCUUCAGCUUGGAUAUUUCUG